Molecule: ribosomal RNA, 522 nt
Filed under: uncultured cyanobacterium
Lineage: Bacteria; Bacillati; Cyanobacteriota
Description: bacterial SSU rRNA
Rfam family: Bacterial small subunit ribosomal RNA
Source: RNAcentral
GGAAGACAUCUUUCCGAAGUCAAAGUCGCAAGACGCUUCCUGAUGAGCUCGCGGCCUAUCAGCUAGUUGGUGAGGUAACGGCUCACCAAGGCAAUGACGGGUAGCUGGUCUGAGAGGACGACCAGCCACACUGGAACUGAGACACGGUCCAGACACCUACGGGUGGCAGCAGUCGAGAAUUUUUCACAAUGGGGGAAACCCUGAUGGAGCGACGCCGCGUGGAGGAUGAAGGUCUUCGGAUUGUAAACUCCUGUCAUGCGAGAACAAGAAAGUGAUAGUAUCGCAAGAGGAAGAGACGGCUAACUCUGUGCCAGCAGCCGCGGUAAUACAGAGGUCUCAAGCGUUGUUCGGAUUCAUUGGGCGUAAAGGGUGCGUAGGUGGCGUGGAAAGUUGAGUGUGAAAUCCUAGGGCUUAACCUUAGAACUGCACUCAAUACUCCCAUGCUAGAGGAAUGUAGAGGAGAGUGGAAUUCACGGUGUAGCAGUGAAAUGCGUAGAUAUCGUGAGGAAGACCAGUUGCGAA